This 322-nucleotide long non-coding RNA is filed under the name Manihot esculenta (cassava). RNAcentral's name for it is "long non-coding RNA (MESC_LNC002977)". Lineage: Eukaryota; Viridiplantae; Streptophyta; Magnoliopsida; Malpighiales; Euphorbiaceae. The record is from RNAcentral.
AUGAAAAUAGCCUUGGAGGAAGACCCAGGUUCGGCCGCCGAAACCCAGGUUCGGCCGCCGAAUCCCAAGUUCGGCCGCCGAACAUGCAUGCACUUCGGGAGUGCUUUAGGCCCCCGAAGGCAUAAGUGAGGGAAGUCCAGGUUCGGCCGCCGAACCUCAUGUUCGGCCGCCGAACAUGGCAUGCAUGCGGAGGCACGUUCGGCUCCCGAAUGUGGCCUGGCCAGCCACCUAUAAAGGGGUCCCUUAGCCGAAAUGGGCGAGUUUUCUCCCCAUUUUCGGCCAAGGUGAGCUCUCCGCCGUCCCUCACCGAUUUUGAGUUUCU